UACGUAGGGUGCGAGCGUUAAUCGGAAUUACUGGGCGUAAAGCGUGCGCAGGCGAUUCGUUUGUGUCGGCGGUGAAAGCCCCCGGGCUUAACCUGGGAAUGGCCGUUGAAACUGGCGAACUGGAGUGUGGCAGAGGGGGGGGUGGAAUUCCGCGUGUAGCAGUGAAAAUGCGUAGAGAUGCGGAGGAACACCGAUGGCGAAAGGCACCCCCCCCUGGGGCUAACACUGACGCUCAGGCACGAAAAGCGUGGGGGGAGCAAAACAGGAUUAGAAAACCCCC
Molecule: ribosomal RNA, 280 nt
Filed under: uncultured bacterium
Lineage: Bacteria
Description: partial 16S ribosomal RNA
Rfam family: Bacterial small subunit ribosomal RNA
Source: RNAcentral